Molecule: long non-coding RNA, 1506 nt
Filed under: Salmo salar (Atlantic salmon)
Lineage: Eukaryota; Metazoa; Chordata; Actinopteri; Salmoniformes; Salmonidae
Description: lncRNA (ENSSSAG00000114264.1)
Source: RNAcentral
UUUUCCAGUAGACAGAAUAAAUGACCAAUGUGCUUAUCUUCAGGGUGCGGUUUGACUGUUCCCAGUUCAGUUCAACCGUGCCUUUUUCCAAUGAUAUCCAGCUGCAACACCAGAGUAGCUGUGACUAAAACUAGCCUCUGACUAAAACCAAUGCUAACCCCGUCUACUGGCCCAGGUUAAUCCCUACCACGUUUAUUUUUAUUUUAUUUAACCUUUAUUUAACUAGGCAAGUCAGUUAAGAACAAAUUCUUACUUACUGGCAAAAGGCCUUCUGCAGGGACUGGGGCUGGGAUUAAAAUAAAAAUAUAGGACAAAACACAUCACGACAAGAGAGACAGCACUACAUAAAGAGAGACCUAAGACGACAACAUAGCAUGGUAGCAACACAUGGUAGCAGCAUAAAACAUGGUAGAAACACAACAUGGUAGCAGCAAUAAAACAUGGUACAAACAUUAUUGGGCAACGACAACAGCACAAAGGACAAGAACGUAGAGACAACAAUACAUCACGCAAAGCAGCCACAACUCGUGUUUACCUGUUGCUGCUGACCAAGAUGACCGAUGAAGAGGAAUGAAAGGGAGACUCCAAGUUAGGCUGAAAAGACGGGAUACACGACCUCUUCCUAGUAUCCUGAUGGUUAAUGUCCAGUUGCUGGAAAAUAAACGUUGAACUCAGAGCAAGGCUUCAAUCGCGGAGGGACAUCAGGGAGUGCUGUGUGUGUUUUUACAGAGACAUGGCUUAUGGAUGAUACAGUCUACUCAGCUAUUCAACCAGACGGCUAUCCCAUUUUCCAAAUGGAUCGAACGGCGGCUUCUGGUAACAGUAAGCAGGGAGGGUUAUGUUUCCUCAUUAACAAUUCCUGGUGUACCGAAGUUGAAAACAUCUCGAGUUCCUGUUCACCCGACCUGGAGUUUCUGAUGCUAAACGCCGACCCUACUAUAUGCCGAGGGAAUUCACGUGUGUUAUCACAGCUGUGUAUAUACUGUCACAAGCAAACACCAAGGUAGCACUCAGCGAACUGAACAAGAUCAUCCUGUUCUGGAUGAAUGUGUGAUAACGCUCUCGGUAGCCGAUGUGAACAAAACCUUUCAACAGGUCAACAUUCACAAAGCCGCUGGUCCAGACGGAUUACCAGGACGUCUACUCAAAGCAUGUGUGGACCAAUUGUUAAGUGUCUUCACUGAAAUGUUCAACUUCUCCCUGACCGAGUCUGUAAUACUUACAUGUUUCAAGCAGACCACCAUAGUCCCUGUGCCCAAGGAAGUGAAGGUAACCUGCCUAAAUGAUUACUGCCCCGUGGCACUCACGUCGGUAGCCAUGAAGUGCUUUGAAAGGCUGGUCAUGGCUCACAUCAACAGCAUCCUCCCGGACCCCCUAGACCCACUCCAAUUCGCAUACCGCCCCAACAGAUCCACAGAUGACACAAUCUCAGUCGCACUCCACACUGCCCUCUCACCUAGAUAAAAGGAACACCUAUGUGAGAAUGCUAUUUAUUGACUACAGCUC